RNAcentral lists this ribosomal RNA (562 nucleotides) under uncultured Glomus. RNAcentral's name for it is "SSU rRNA". It matches the Rfam family "Eukaryotic small subunit ribosomal RNA", at positions 548 to 1112 of the family's 1831-position model. Lineage: Eukaryota; Fungi; Glomeromycota; Glomeromycetes; Glomerales; Glomeraceae. The record is from RNAcentral.
UUGGAGGGCAAGUCUGGUGCCAGCAGCCGCGGUAAUUCCAGCUCCAAUAGCGUAUAUUAAAGUUGUUGCAGUUAAAAAGCUCGUAGUUGAAUUUCGGGGUUAGUAGGUUGGUCAUGCCUCUGGUAUGUACUGGUCUCACUGAUCCUCCUUCCUGAUGAACCGUAAUGCCAUUAAUUUGGUGUUGCGGGGAAUUUGGACUGUUACUUUGAAAAAAUUAGAGUGUUUAAAGCAAGCUAACGCUUGAAUACAUUAGCAUGGAAUAAUGAAAUAGGACGUUCGAUCCUAUUUUGUUGGUUUCUAGGAUUGACGUAAUGAUUAAUAGGGAUAGUUGGGGGCAUUAGUAUUCAAUUGUCAGAGGUGAAAUUCUUGGAUUUAUUGAAGACUAACUACUGCGAAAGCAUUUGCCAAGGAUGUUUUCAUUAAUCAAGAACGAAAGUUAGGGGAUCGAAGACGAUCAGAUACCGUCGUAGUCUUAACCAUAAACUAUGCCGGCUAGGGAUCGGAUGAUGUUAAUUUUUUAAUGACUCAUUCGGCGCCUUACGGGAAACCAAAGUGUUUGGGU